Lagenorhynchus albirostris (white-beaked dolphin) is the source of this 8822-nucleotide RNA transcript. It is a transcript of the gene named spectrin beta, non-erythrocytic 1, with no coding region annotated. The transcript has 32 exons. NCBI's taxonomy places the organism in Eukaryota, Metazoa, Chordata, Mammalia, Artiodactyla, Delphinidae. The record is from RefSeq and is a predicted model, not a curated record.
UUCACAUAAUUAUCAUUUCUUUUUUGUGGUGAGGAUGAUUAAGUUUAGUCUCUUAGCAGCUUUGAAGUUUAUAAGACAGUAUGACUGCUUACUCACUCUGUGUCACAUCACUCCAGUUUCAUUUUAUUUUCUUUUCAACUAUCUUGUCUUUUCUUAUGUGCUUUUUUGGUCCAGCUCUUCUAGUAGGAUGUAAGCUUCACUAGAGCCAGGUCCUUAUCUUGUUUACCGUUAACCCAGCAUCUGGAACAGUGCUGAGCAUGUACUAGGUCCCCGGAACAUUUUGGUUCCGUGAAUGAAUAAUAGCUGUAUUGAGGGGAGAAGCUAUACAUUUAAAGCUAAAUGUAUCUCUCUUAAUUCUCUGAGGGCACUGUGAUAAAGACGGCAGUGGGCCAAACGCUGAGGCUGAAGUUCUUGUUUCCCAUUUAUCCCUGUAAAACAUUGUGGCCCUCGUGGGUCCCUGAGACGUGGGUAUUGGGGUGGGUAGUAGAAUUUGUAAUAACACAGUCAUAUACAUAAUUUCAGUCAUUUUUUGGUAUCUGUUAAACACUAGUACUGUCCUUGCUGCUGUAUAUUUACUAUGUCAUUUAAUCUUAGGCAUCAGUUUUCUAAUAUGUAAAUGAUAUGUUUAGAUAAAAUGAUCUCUUAGUUCUCUUAUAUCACAUUAUAUGAAUUUCUAGGAGAAGCUAAGAGAUUAUAGUUUAUGGUGACACACAAUAGACACAGAUUAGUUCGUUCAGAAUACCUAUCCAAGAUAGAUAUUCCUCCAGCUCUAAUAAAACUUUAAAAUUGCAAAGUUUAAACUUUAGAAAGGAGGAAGAAACCCACCCUUUGUUGGGUAUCCGUCAUCUCAUUCAGUCUUCUCAACAACCUGUAGAGUAUCUUCCCUCCUUCAUGUCUGCGGAAACAGAGGCUCAGAGGUGUUACGUGCCUUGGCCAAGGUCACACACAUGUUACGAGGCAGUGCUGAAGUUCCCAACCAGCUUCGAUUGACUCCAGAGACCUGCUCUCAGCACGUAGGAGUUGUGUUACCUUCUGCUCACCUUUCCCCAGUAGGUUUUGUGGGGAUCGACAGCUUAGACUCCUGACUAGGGUUUCCCUUCUGUUUCUCACAGACCUCUGAGAAGGAGCUGAUGUGGAGAAGCAGCUGAGGCGGUCCAGGAUGACGACCACAGUAGCCACAGACUACGACAACAUCGAGAUCCAACAGCAGUACAGCGAUGUCAACAACCGCUGGGACGUGGACGACUGGGACAACGAGAACAGCUCCGCGCGGCUCUUUGAGCGGUCCCGCAUCAAGGCUCUGGCAGAUGAACGUGAAGCCGUGCAGAAGAAGACCUUCACCAAGUGGGUCAACUCCCACCUCGCCCGGGUGUCCUGCCGGAUCACAGACCUGUACACUGACCUCCGGGAUGGACGGAUGCUCAUCAAGCUGCUGGAGGUCCUCUCCGGAGAGAGACUGCCUAAACCCACCAAGGGACGAAUGCGCAUCCACUGUCUGGAGAACGUGGACAAGGCCCUUCAGUUCCUGAAGGAGCAGAGAGUCCAUCUUGAGAACAUGGGGUCCCACGACAUCGUGGAUGGGAACCACCGGCUGACCCUCGGCCUUAUCUGGACCAUCAUCCUGCGCUUCCAGAUCCAGGAUAUCAGCGUGGAAACUGAAGACAACAAAGAGAAGAAAUCUGCCAAGGAUGCAUUGCUGUUGUGGUGCCAGAUGAAGACAGCUGGGUACCCCAACGUCAACAUUCACAAUUUCACCACUAGCUGGAGGGACGGCAUGGCCUUCAAUGCGCUGAUACACAAACACCGGCCUGACCUGAUAGAUUUUGACAAGCUAAAGAAAUCCAAUGCACACUACAAUCUGCAGAAUGCAUUUAACCUUGCAGAGCAGCACCUCGGCCUCACUAAACUGUUGGACCCCGAAGAUAUCAGUGUGGACCACCCCGAUGAGAAGUCCAUUAUCACUUAUGUGGUGACUUAUUACCACUACUUCUCAAAGAUGAAGGCCUUGGCUGUUGAAGGAAAACGAAUUGGAAAGGUGCUCGACAAUGCUAUUGAAACAGAAAAAAUGAUUGAAAAGUAUGAAUCCCUUGCCUCUGACCUUCUGGAGUGGAUUGAACAAACCAUCAUCAUUUUGAACAACCGCAAAUUUGCCAACUCGCUGGUUGGGGUUCAACAACAGCUCCAGGCCUUCAACACCUACCGCACUGUGGAGAAGCCGCCCAAAUUUACUGAGAAGGGGAACUUGGAAGUCCUGCUUUUCACUAUUCAGAGCAAGAUGAGGGCCAAUAACCAGAAGGUCUACAUGCCCCGGGAGGGGAAGCUCAUCUCUGACAUUAACAAGGCCUGGGAAAGACUGGAAAAAGCGGAACAUGAGCGAGAACUGGCCCUGCGGAACGAGCUCAUAAGACAGGAGAAACUGGAACAGCUCGCCCGCAGAUUUGACCGCAAGGCAGCUAUGAGGGAAACCUGGCUGAGCGAGAACCAGCGUCUGGUGUCCCAGGACAACUUUGGAUUUGACCUUCCCGCAGUCGAGGCUGCCACGAAAAAGCACGAGGCCAUAGAGACGGACAUUGCCGCGUACGAGGAGCGCGUGCAGGCCGUGGUGGCCGUGGCCAGGGAGCUGGAAGCGGAGAACUACCACGACAUCAAGCGCAUCGCGGCGAGGAAGGACAACGUCAUCCGGCUCUGGGAGUACCUGCUGGAGCUGCUCAGGGCCCGGCGGCAGCGCCUCGAGAUGAACCUGGGGCUGCAGAAGAUAUUCCAGGAAAUGCUCUACAUUAUGGACUGGAUGGAUGAAAUGAAGGUGCUAUUAUUGUCUCAAGACUAUGGCAAACACUUGCUCGGCGUGGAAGACCUGUUACAGAAGCACGCCCUGGUUGAAGCGGACAUUGGCAUCCAGGCAGAGCGGGUGAGAGGUGUCAAUGCCUCCGCCCAGAAGUUUGCAACAGACGGGGAAGGUUACAAGCCCUGCGACCCCCAGGUGAUCCGAGACCGCGUGGCCCACAUGGAGUUCUGUUAUCAAGAGCUUUGCCAGCUGGCGGCCGAGCGCCGGGCCCGCCUGGAAGAGUCCCGCCGCCUCUGGAAGUUCUUCUGGGAGAUGGCCGAGGAGGAAGGCUGGAUCCGGGAGAAGGAGAAGAUCCUGUCCUCCGACGACUACGGCAAGGACCUCACCAGCGUCGUGCGGCUGCUCAGCAAGCACCGGGCGUUCGAGGACGAGAUGAGCGGCCGCAGCGGCCACUUCGAGCAGGCCAUCAAGGAGGGCGAAGACAUGAUCGCCGAGGAGCACUUCGGGUCGGAGAAGAUCCGGGAGCGGAUCGCCUACAUUCGCGAGCAGUGGGCCCACCUGGAGCAGCUCUCGGCCAUCCGCAAGAAGCGCCUGGAGGAGGCCUCGCUGCUGCACCAGUUCCAGGCGGACGCCGACGACAUCGACGCCUGGAUGCUGGACAUCCUCAAGAUCGUCUCCAGCAGCGACGUGGGCCACGACGAGUACUCCACCCAGUCCCUGGUCAAGAAGCACAAGGACGUGGCAGAGGAGAUCGCCAACUACCGGCCCACCAUCGACUCGCUGCACGAGCAGGCCGGCGCCCUCCCCCAGGAGCAUGCCGAGUCUCCCGACGUGCAGGGCCGACUGGCGGGCAUCGAGGAGCGCUACAAGGAGGUGGCCGAGCUGACGCGGCUGCGGAAGCAGGCGCUGCAGGACACCCUGGCCCUGUACAAGAUGUUCAGCGAGGCCGGCGCCUGCGAGCUCUGGAUCGACGAGAAGGAGCAGUGGCUCGACAACAUGCAGAUCCCAGAGAAGCUGGAGGACCUGGAGGUCAUCCAGCACAGAUUCGAGAGCCUAGAGCCAGAGAUGAACAACCAGGCUUCCCGGGUGGCGGUGGUGAACCAGAUCGCCCGGCAGCUGAUGCACAGCGGCCACCCGAGCGAGAAGGAGAUCAAGGCCCAGCAGGACAAGCUCAACACGAGGUGGAGUCAGUUCAGGGAGCUGGUGGACCGGAAGAAGGACGCUCUCCUCUCCGCCCUGAGCAUCCAGAACUACCACCUCGAGUGCAACGAAACCAAGUCCUGGAUUCGGGAAAAGACCAAGGUCAUUGAAUCCACCCAGGACCUGGGCAACGACCUGGCAGGAGUCAUGGCCCUGCAGCGCAAGCUGACCGGCAUGGAGCGGGACCUGGUGGCCAUCGAGGCAAAGCUGAGCGACCUGCAGAAGGAGGCCGAGAAGCUGGAGUCGGAGCACCCCGACCAGGCCCAGGCCAUCCUGUCUCGGCUGGCCGAGAUCAGCGACGUGUGGGAGGAGAUGAAGACCACGCUGAAGAACCGCGAGGCCUCCUUGGGAGAGGCCAGCAAGCUGCAGCAGUUCCUGCGGGACCUGGACGACUUCCAGUCCUGGCUCUCCAGGACCCAGACGGCCAUCGCCUCGGAGGACAUGCCCAACACCCUGACCGAGGCUGAGAAGCUCCUCACGCAGCACGAGAACAUCAAAAACGAGAUCGACAACUAUGAGGAGGACUACCAGAAGAUGAGGGACAUGGGCGAGAUGGUCACCCAGGGCCAGACCGACGCCCAGUACAUGUUCUUGCGGCAGCGGCUGCAGGCCCUGGACACUGGGUGGAAUGAGCUCCACAAGAUGUGGGAGAACAGGCAGAACCUUCUCUCCCAGUCCCACGCCUACCAGCAGUUCCUGCGGGACACGAAGCAGGCCGAAGCCUUCCUGAACAACCAGGAGUAUGUUUUGGCCCAUACUGAAAUGCCCACCACCUUGGAAGGAGCUGAAGCAGCUAUUAAAAAACAAGAGGACUUCAUGACCACCAUGGACGCCAAUGAGGAGAAGAUCAAUGCGGUCGUGGAGACGGGCCGGAGGCUGGUGAGCGAUGGGAACAUCAGUUCGGACCGCAUCCAGGAGAAGGUGGACUCUAUCGAUGACAGACACAGGAAGAAUCGUGAGGCAGCCAGUGAGCUUCUGAUGAGACUGAAGGACAACAGGGAUCUUCAGAAAUUCCUGCAAGAUUGUCAGGAGCUGUCUCUCUGGAUCAAUGAAAAGAUGCUCACAGCCCAGGACAUGUCUUAUGAUGAAGCCAGAAAUCUGCACAGUAAAUGGUUAAAACAUCAAGCCUUUAUGGCAGAACUCGCAUCCAACAAAGAAUGGCUUGACAAAAUUGAGAAGGAAGGAAUGCAGCUCAUUUCAGAAAAGCCAGAGACGGAAGCCGUGGUGAAGGAGAAACUCACAGGUUUACAUAAAAUGUGGGAAGUCCUUGAGUCUACCACACAGACCAAGGCCCAGCGGCUCUUUGACGCAAACAGAGCUGAGCUCUUCACCCAGAGCUGUGCAGAUCUGGACAAAUGGCUGCACGGCCUGGAGAGUCAGAUUCAAUCUGACGACUAUGGCAAAGACCUCACCAGUGUCAACAUCCUGCUGAAAAAGCAACAGAUGCUGGAGAAUCAGAUGGAGGUGCGGAAGAAGGAGAUCGAAGAGCUCCAGAGCCAGGCGCAGGCCCUGAGCCAGGAGGGGAAGAGCACGGACGAGGUGGACAGCAAGCGCCUCACUGUGCAGACCAAGUUCAUGGCGCUGCUGGAGCCCCUGAACGAGAGGAAGCAGAACCUGCUGGCCUCCAGAGAGAUCCAUCAGUUCAACAGGGACGUGGAGGACGAGAUCUUGUGGGUUGGAGAGAGGAUGCCUUUGGCAACUUCCACGGAUCACGGCCACAACCUCCAGACCGUGCAGCUGUUAAUAAAGAAAAAUCAGACCCUGCAGAAGGAGAUCCAGGGCCACCAGCCCCGCAUCGACGACAUCUUUGAGAAGAGCCAGAACAUCGUCACGGACAGCAGCCUCAACGCCGAGGCCAUCCGGCAGAGGCUGGCCGACCUGAAGCAGCUGUGGGGCCUCCUCAUCGAGGAGACGGAGAAGCGGCACCGGCGGCUGGAGGAGGCGCACAAGGCCCAGCAGUACUACUUCGACGCGGCCGAGGCCGAGGCGUGGAUGAGCGAGCAGGAGCUGUACAUGAUGUCCGAGGAGAAGGCCAAGGAUGAGCAGAGCGCCGUCUCCAUGUUGAAGAAGCACCAGAUUCUGGAACAAGCCGUGGAGGACUACGCGGAGACGGUGCAUCAGCUCUCCAAGACCAGCCGGGCCCUGGUGGCUGACAGCCAUCCCGAAAGUGAGCGCAUCAGCAUGCGGCAGUCCAAGGUGGACAAGCUGUAUGCGGGCCUCAAGGACCUGGCCGAGGAGAGGAGGGGCAAGCUGGACGAGAGGCACCGGCUGUUCCAGCUCAACCGGGAGGUCGACGACCUGGAGCAGUGGAUCGCCGAGAGGGAGGUGGUCGCAGGGUCACACGAGCUGGGGCAGGACUACGAGCACGUCACGAUGCUACAAGAACGAUUCCGGGAAUUCGCCCGGGACACAGGGAACAUUGGGCAGGAGCGCGUGGACACGGUCAAUCACAUGGCAGAUGAACUCAUCAACUCUGGACACUCGGAUGCCGCCACCAUCGCCGAGUGGAAGGACGGGCUCAACGAAGCCUGGGCUGACCUCCUGGAGCUCAUCGACACGAGGACGCAGAUCCUCGCUGCCUCCUAUGAACUGCACAAGUUUUACCAUGAUGCCAAGGAGAUCUUUGGGCGCAUCCAGGACAAGCACAAGAAACUCCCCGAGGAGCUCGGGAGAGAUCAGAACACAGUGGAGACCUUACAGAGAAUGCACACCACGUUUGAGCACGACAUCCAGGCUCUGGGCACUCAGGUGAGACAGCUGCAGGAGGAUGCAGCCCGCCUCCAGGCCGCCUAUGCGGGCGACAAGGCCGAGGACAUCCAGAAGCGGGAGAACGAGGUCCUGGAAGCCUGGAAGGCCCUGCUGGACGCCUGCGAGGGCCGCAGGGUGCGGCUGGUGGACACGGGGGACAAGUUCCGCUUCUUCAGCAUGGUGCGCGACCUCAUGCUGUGGAUGGAGGAUGUCAUCCGGCAGAUCGAAGCCCAGGAGAAGCCACGGGAUGUGUCCUCUGUUGAACUAUUAAUGAAUAAUCAUCAAGGUAUCAAAGCAGAAAUCGAUGCUCGUAAUGACAGUUUCACGACCUGCAUUGAACUUGGGAAAUCGCUGCUGGCGAGGAAGCACUACGCAUCAGAGGAGAUCAAGGAGAAGUUACUGCAGUUGACGGAAAAGAGGAAAGAAAUGAUUGACAAGUGGGAAGACCGAUGGGAAUGGUUAAGACUGAUCUUGGAGGUCCAUCAGUUCUCAAGGGACGCCAGUGUGGCCGAGGCCUGGCUGCUCGGACAGGAGCCCUACCUGUCCAGCCGAGAAAUAGGCCAGAGCGUGGACGAGGUGGAGAAGCUCAUCAAGCGCCACGAGGCUUUUGAAAAGUCUGCCGCGACCUGGGACGAGAGGUUCUCCGCCCUGGAAAGGCUGACGACAUUGGAGCUACUGGAAGUGCGCAGACAGCAAGAGGAAGAGGAGAGGAAGAGGCGGCCGCCUUCUCCUGAGCCGAGCUCGAAGGUUUCCGAGGAGACCGAGUCCCAGCAGCAGUGGGAUGCUUCAAAAGGAGAGCAAGUUUCCCAGAAUGGUUUGCCGGCUGAACAGGGAUCUCCACGGGUUAGUUACCGCUCUCAAACCUACCAAAACUACAAAAACUUUAAUAGCAGACGGACAGCCAGUGACCAGCCGUGGUCUGGACUGUGAAGUUCACUACCAUUUGUCAAGAACCACUCUUUCCAAAUCCUGUUGGUUUGACCUUUUGGCUUCCACUUCACCCACAGUGUUAAAAAUUUUACUUAAUUCAUAGCCUUCCUUGGUUUCAUAUUUGUUUGCGUUUAAUUCAUGUUUAUUUGAGUUUUUUAACUGAUGGAUGCUCAGUUGCCUGAAAGCAACAUACGUAUUUUUUGUUUAUUUAUCGUGAGCUUUUUACUUUAUUAAGAUUUUGCAGCGAAAGCCUUACGUGAGUAAUUGAAAUUAAAUGAGAUUACAGCAAAAUGAAGAAGAAAACUAGAAUCUGACAGGAUAACAUCAUAUAGCAUCUUGUUUGUUUUUUCCUCAUUUCUAUGUACAUAUCUAUCUACUUGCGACCGUAGAUGGGUAUAUAGAUAGAUGCCAAGCUUCUUAUGUUCUGGGAGUAGUAUGCACCAUUAUUGGGUCUCUGCCUUCAAACUCACCAAAAUUCAUUUUAGAAAAGAAACUACUGCUUCAUCUUUGGUGAUUAGGGAGCCCUGACAUGUGUUAACUGGCUCCAAAUGAUAUGUGUCAUUGGUCUAUAUGUAUAUAUGUGAUGUGUCCAUAUAUAUAUGUUUAAAUUUUGUAUCAUGAGGGCUAAUACCCAAUUUUAUGCCUUUCGUAUUCAGAAGACCAAAAACAAAACAAAACAAAACAAAGCCACAUAAGCACACAGGAAAGAAAGGAGUGCUGUGAUGCUUUCGGCGUUUGUUCUCAUGCCUAUUUUUAUCUAGAUUUUUUAAUUGUAGCUUGCCAGACAGAGUUUUAAUUGAAAUUGGAUUGUAUCAGAAGAAGAAAAGUUCUUUUCGUUCUUCUGAGUUACGGUGCAGAGACUCAAGUUAAUGAACUUGAAGGUAGUGUUGCUUCUUGCACUUAGAAAACCAAUCAGGUGUUCCUUGUGCUACUAGUUGUCACGUUGCAUUUACGUUCACCUCCUGACUGAAGUAUCUCAGGUGUACGCAGCCACUAAUCGCUAAAGAGAAGCAACGUGGGGUGGGGGUAGGGGUGUAUCCACAUGUACCCACUGUUUGGUCACAGCACUACGAUUUGCUUUUGAUGUUUGUCUCUAGUGGCGUGUUGUCUGUUGGCAUGCUUAAGCACAUGUCCAUUAAAAUUCAUUUUGUUCCUUUUA